UACGUAGGGUGCAAGCGUUGUCCGGAAUUAUUGGGCGUAAAGAGCUCGUAGGCGGUCUGUCGCGUCUGCUGUGAAAACUCAGGGCUUAACCCUGAGCUUGCAGUGGGUACGGGCAGACUAGAGUGCGGUAGGGGAGACUGGAAUUCCUGGUGUAGCGGUGAAAUGCGCAGGUAUCAGGAGGAACACCGGUGGCGAAGGCGGGUCUCUGGGCCGUAACUGACGCUGAGGAGCGAAAGCAUGGGGAGCGAACAGG
This 253-nucleotide ribosomal RNA is filed under the name uncultured bacterium. RNAcentral describes it as "partial 16S ribosomal RNA". It matches the Rfam family "Bacterial small subunit ribosomal RNA", at positions 524 to 776 of the family's 1533-position model. The record is from RNAcentral.